This 377-nucleotide ribosomal RNA is filed under the name uncultured bacterium. Its description in RNAcentral is "bacterial SSU rRNA". It matches the Rfam family "Bacterial small subunit ribosomal RNA", at positions 28 to 399 of the family's 1533-position model. The record is from RNAcentral.
GACGAACGCUGACGGUGUGCUUUAGACAUGCAAGUCGAACGAGAAAGCCCUUCGGGUUAGUAAGGUGGCGAACGGGUGAGUAACACGUGGGCAAUCUGCCCCUCGCAGGGGGACAACCGGAGGAAACUCCGGCUAAUACCCCGUAAGUUCAAAGGGAGGCAUCUCUCUUCGAAGAAAGGUAGCUUCGGCCAUCCGGCGAGGGAUGAGCCCGCGGUGCAUUAGCUAGUUGGUGGGGUAACGGCCUACCAAGGCGACGAUGCAUAGCUGGUCUGAGAGGACGAUCAGCCACACUGGGACUGAGACACGGGCCAGACUCCUACGGGAGGCAGCAGUGAGGAAUAUUGCGCAAUGGGCGAAAGCCUGACGCAGCGACGCCG